AGGCCGUGAAGAUCUCCCUGCUCACUGUGGUCGCUAUUCUUUAGGCGGACGCUUCCUCCCGUCAUCUCUUUGCUCGCUCGCACCGACAGCAACUCCUCCUAAAAGUACGCGCUGUGAGGGCUAUCGGGUAGGUUUACUCAGACAGCCGCACCCCCCUCAUAGAUUCACAACUCCCUCUCUGUAGACGCACCACUAACCAUAGACAACCAGGACGAUAAUGCUCUCUGCAGCUGAUAUACACGCGUUUGUUCGCGACGAGCGCGCCUGGAAGCGUGCAGCGCAGAAACCGGGUGGCGACGACGCCCUUGCUGCUGGCAUGAUCUCCAGCAAAGAGAGCAACUGGCUUGUCUUCCGCCGUGGGACCAGCGACAACGCGUUUUCCUUGAAGUUCUCCAACGCCCUUCGCGCUUCCGCGUUCACCGACAGCUUUGGCACUGCUGCUUCGUCCAACACCCAUUCUGCGGUGCCGCGCCAGCGUUGGAACAGCAGCGCCCGCUGCGACUCGGAAGACGCGUACGCAGAUCCCUUGCAGCAGCUCCUCAUACGCAAUAUGAAACGGAAAGGAGUUGCAGCCAUGCUGAGCAAGAGGAGAUUGCCACAGCUUGCACGCCCGUCCUACAUCAGCCAUGCUGCCCGAGAGGCGCGUCGCCGAAGUGAUCUCACGCGUGCGGCACAGGAGCUGAUAGAUCUGGAGCGGUUCGAGCGCCACCAGGUGGUGGCGAUGGCGAGGAGUCGCUUUGACACUAUGGUGUCCGCAUUCUUCGUGGCCGCCGAAAAGGAUAUGAUCGCAUGCGAGAUUAGCGGGCGAAGAGCGCUUUUCCGCGAAUGGCAGGAGGCUCGGCGCAACAUGGCAGCAUCCAUGGACCGGGAGUUCUCCAAGCUCACAUCAAUGACGCCGCACGGGUUUAAGGCAAUCUGCCGCCUCAUCCGUUCCGAGGACGUCAUGCGCAGACGGGUUCAGGCGACCGAAGCGCAGGACCGAGAUUUGUAUGCGCGUUUCAUGCACCUCGAGCGUCUCAAGGCACUGGGGAAGGAGUUGAACGAGCGCCCUCGGCGCGACGUGCUGCAUGAGGCCGCUGCCGUGCUCGCUCUUGCGCAGAAAGAAAGGGCUCGACACGUCGACGCAGCACGUGGGCACGGCUCCCAUGCGACGUCCGUAGGUCGGGUCAACGGAAAACGGCUGUGAUCGCGGUCGAUGAGGGGUAGAUUUGCUUUAGAGGGCACUUGGUUUUGCGCACGUACACAGCGCGUGGACACCAGGGGAAGAGGGGAGUGUAUCAUUCAUUCUCGCAUUUCGCUGUGUGUUUCGUGGGUGCCAUUGUGCCACCGAGGCUUUGCCGCUCGCCAGCCAAUUCGACCGUUACGCCUGGGCGUGCUGAGCACUGCGGAUGGCAACCGCGUCCAACCGGCGCCGCGCGGCGCACCCAUCUGUGACAGGAGAAAACCACUAAAGAAACAGUUCGACGCCUCUGCCACCCUUUUUGGCGUUCCUUCGGCUUUCAGGCGGUGUGAGUCGAGAAAGCUAUGCGAACGUAAGGGGCGCCGCGCUGGCCCAUACCCGAGUUGUGUUGCUCGUCUUUCUCUUCACUGUCC
RNAcentral lists this unclassified non-coding RNA (1593 nucleotides) under Leishmania donovani. RNAcentral's name for it is "gene:LdHU3.20.0060(CDS-product:hypothetical_prote in_conserved)". Lineage: Eukaryota; Euglenozoa; Kinetoplastea; Trypanosomatida; Trypanosomatidae. The record is from RNAcentral.